Molecule: ribosomal RNA, 632 nt
Filed under: uncultured bacterium
Lineage: Bacteria
Description: bacterial SSU rRNA
Rfam family: Bacterial small subunit ribosomal RNA
Source: RNAcentral
AGUUUGAUCCUGGCUCAGGACGAACGCUGGCGGCGUGCCUAAUACAUGCAAGUCGAACGAACUCUGGUAUUGAUUGGUGCUUGCAUCAUGAUUUACAUUUGAGUGAGUGGCGAACUGGUGAGUAACACGUGGGAAACCUGCCCAGAAGCGGGGGAUAACACCUGGAAACAGAUGCUAAUACCGCAUAACAACUUGGACCGCAUGGUCCGAGCUUGAAAGAUGGCUUCGGCUAUCACUUUUGGAUGGUCCCGCGGCGUAUUAGCUAGAUGGUGGGGUAACGGCUCACCAUGGCAAUGAUACGUAGCCGACCUGAGAGGGUAAUCGGCCACAUUGGGACUGAGACACGGCCCAAACUCCUACGGGAGGCAGCAGUAGGGAAUCUUCCACAAUGGACGAAAGUCUGAUGGAGCAACGCCGCGUGAGUGAAGAAGGGUUUCGGCUCGUAAAACUCUGUUGUUAAAGAAGAACAUAUCUGAGAGUAACUGUUCAGGUAUUGACGGUAUUUAACCAGAAAGCCACGGCUAACUACGUGCCAGCAGCCGCGGUAAUACGUAGGUGGCAAGCGUUGUCCGGAUUUAUUGGGCGUAAAGCGAGCGCAGGCGGUUUUUUAAGUCUGAUGUGAAAGCCUUCGG